GGAAAAUCAGAGUUUGAUCCUGGCUCAGGACGAACGCUGGCGGCGUGCUUAACACAUGCAAGUCGAGCGGUAAGGCCCUUCGGGGUACACGAGCGGCGAACGGGUGAGUAACACGUGAGCAACCUGCCCCUGACUCCGGGAUAAGCGGUGGAAACGCCGUCUAAUACCGGAUACGACCACCGGGUGCCUGCCUGGUGGUGGAAAGUUGUGUCGGUCAGGGAUGGGCUCGCGGCCUAUCAGCUGGUUGGUGGGGUAACGGCCUACCAAGGCGAUUACGGGUAGCCGGCCUGAGAGGGCGACCGGCCACACUGGGACUGAGACACGGCCCAGACUCCUGCGGGAGGCAGCAGUGGGGAAUAUUGCGCAAUGGGCGAAAGCCUGACGCAGCGACGCCGCGUGGGGGAUGACGGCCUUCGGGUUGUAAACCUCUUUUACCACCAACGCAGGCUCGGGGUUUUCUCCGGGUUGACGGUAGGUGGGGAAUAAGGACCGGCUAACUACGUGCCAGCAGCCGCGGUAAUACGUAGGGUCCGAGCGUUGUCCGGAAUUAUUGGGCGUAAAGAGCUCGUAGGCGGCGUGUCGCGUCUGCUGUGAAAGACCGGGGCUUAACUCCGGUUCUGCAGUGGAUACGGGCAUGCUUGAGGUAGGUAGGGGAAACUGGAAUUCCUGGUGUAGCGGUGAAAUGCGCAGAUAUCAGGAGGAACACCGGUGGCGAAGGCGGGUCUCUGGGCCUUAUCUGACGCUGAGGAGCGAAAGCAUGGGGAGCGAACAGGAUUAGAUACCCUGGUAGUCCAUGCCGUAAACGUUGGGCGCUAGGUGUGGGGACUUUCCGCGGUUUCCGCGCCGUAGCUAACGCAUUAAGCGCCCCGCCUGGGGAGUACGGCCGCAAGGCUAAAACUCAAAGGAAUUGACGGGGGCCCGCACAAGCGGCGGAGCAUGUUGCUUAAUUCGACGCAACGC
RNAcentral lists this ribosomal RNA (960 nucleotides) under Nocardiopsis sp. ZZY-2013. Its description in RNAcentral is "bacterial SSU rRNA". It matches the Rfam family "Bacterial small subunit ribosomal RNA", at positions 1 to 962 of the family's 1533-position model. The record is from RNAcentral. Lineage: Bacteria; Bacillati; Actinomycetota; Actinomycetes; Streptosporangiales; Nocardiopsidaceae.